RNAcentral lists this ribosomal RNA (750 nucleotides) under uncultured cyanobacterium. RNAcentral describes it as "bacterial SSU rRNA". It matches the Rfam family "Bacterial small subunit ribosomal RNA", at positions 96 to 876 of the family's 1533-position model. Lineage: Bacteria; Bacillati; Cyanobacteriota. The record is from RNAcentral.
UGGCGGACGGGUGAGUAACGCGUGAGAAUCUGGCUUUAGGUUCGGGACAACAGUGGGAAACUGCUGCUAAUACCGAAUGUGCCUUAAUCGGUGAAAGAUUAAUUGCCUGAAGAUGAGCUCGCGUCUGAUUAGCUAGUUGGUGAGGUAAAGGCUCACCAAGGCGACGAUCAGUAACUGGUCUGAGAGGAUGACCAGUCACACUGGGACUGAGACACGGCCCAGACUCCUACGGGAGGCAGCAGUGGGGAAUUUUCCGCAAUGGGCGAAAGCCUGACGGAGCAAUACCGCGUGAGGGAGGAAGGCUCUUGGGUUGUAAACCUCUUUUCUCAGGGAAGAACAAAAUGACGGUACCUGAGGAAUAAGCAUCGGCUAACUCCGUGCCAGCAGCCGCGGUAAUACGGAGGAUGCAAGCGUUAUCCGGAAUUAUUGGGCGUAAAGCGUCCGCAGGUGGCAAUUCAAGUCUGCUGUCAAAGGUUCUGGCUCAACCAGAAACAGGCAGUGGAAACUGAAUAGCUAGAGUGCGGUAGGGGCAGAGGGAAUUCCCAGUGUAGCGGUGAAAUGCGUAGAGAUUGGGAAGAACACCGGUGGCGAAAGCGCUCUGCUAGGCCGUAACUGACACUCAUGGACGAAAGCUAGGGGAGCGAAUGGGAUUAGAUACCCCAGUAGUCCUAGCCGUAAACGAUGGAUACUAGGCGUUGCUCGCAUCGACCCGAGCAGUGCCGUAGCUAACGCGUUAAGUAUCCCGCCUGG